UCGUCGCCAGAGGACUUGCUGUUGUACCCGGCGCCGCCGGUGUACGCGUCAUCGCCAGAGGACUUGCUGUUGUACCCGCCGCCGGUGCCACGGCGGCCGUACUCGUCGUCGUUGGUGCCCGAUUUGUUGUACCCACCGUCGUAGUCGUCCUUGCCGGACUUGUUGUACCCACCGCCGCCGGUGCCACGGCCGUAGUCGUCGCCGCCGGACCUGUCGUACCCAUCGCCGCCACUGCGGCGGCCGUAGUCGUCGCCGCCGGACUCGUUGUAGCCACCUUCGCCACGGCCGUAGUCAUCAGUCCUGGACUUGCUGUUGUAGCCGCUGUCGUAGUCGUCGCCGGCGCCGG
RNAcentral lists this long non-coding RNA (346 nucleotides) under Sorghum bicolor (sorghum). RNAcentral describes it as "long non-coding RNA (SBIC_LNC011160)". The record is from RNAcentral. Lineage: Eukaryota; Viridiplantae; Streptophyta; Magnoliopsida; Poales; Poaceae.